AUACGUAGGUGGCAAGCGUUGUCCGGAUUUACUGGGUGUAAAGGGUGCGUAGGCGGGUAGGCAAGUCAGGUGUGAAAGCCCAUGGCUCAACUGUGGGAUUGCAUUUGAAACUGCAGACCUUGAGUGCAGGAGGGGUAAGCGGAAUUCCUAGUGUAGCGGUGAAAUGCGUAGAUAUUAGGAGGAACACCAGUGGCGAAGGCGGCUUACUGGACUGCAACUGACGCUGAGGCACGAAAGCGUGGGGAUC
Molecule: ribosomal RNA, 247 nt
Filed under: uncultured bacterium
Lineage: Bacteria
Description: partial 16S ribosomal RNA
Rfam family: Bacterial small subunit ribosomal RNA
Source: RNAcentral